GGGGAAUAUUGGACAAUGGGCGCAAGCCUGAUCCAGCCAUGCCGCGUGUGUGAAGAAGGUCUUCGGAUUGUAAAGCACUUUAAGUUGGGAGGAAGUUCAGUAAGUUAAUACCUUGUUGAAUUGACGUUACCGACAGAAUAAGCACCGGCUAACUCUGUGCCAGCAGCCGCGGUAAUACAGAGGGUGCAAGCGUUAAUCGGAAUUACUGGGCGUAAAGCGCGCGUAGGUGGUUUUGUAAGUUGGAGGUGAAAUCCCCGGGCUCAACCUGGGAACUGCCUCCAAAACUGCAAAGCUAGAGUACGGUAGAGGGUGGUGGAAUUUCCUGUGUAGCGGUGAAAUGCGUAGAUAUAGGAAGGAACACCAGUGGCGAAGGCGACCACCUGGACUGAUACUGCCACUGAGGUGCGAAAGCGCGGGGAGCAAAC
This 425-nucleotide ribosomal RNA is filed under the name uncultured bacterium. Its description in RNAcentral is "bacterial SSU rRNA". It matches the Rfam family "Bacterial small subunit ribosomal RNA", at positions 356 to 773 of the family's 1533-position model. The record is from RNAcentral.